Molecule: long non-coding RNA, 1840 nt
Organism: Rattus rattus (black rat)
Lineage: Eukaryota; Metazoa; Chordata; Mammalia; Rodentia; Muridae
Exons: 3
Source: RefSeq, a predicted model, not a curated record
AACACAGCCUCUGUAAAACUGCUGGUACCUAAAGGAACUGUCAGAAAGGGACUGCAGAGUAAGGAGGGGUAGUUGACAGUACUAGUCCCUGAGCUUCCAGACCCUGAAGUUGAUGGACCCAGGAAUGAGUCUCACUGUAAAAGAGGUCCUUUAUAAAGAAAACGAUGACGAGGUUAAAGGAGAAAGUAAGUUACAUGACAGUUUCCAAAAUGGUUCUUGCUUCCCGCUGAAGAUGGGCCGCCGUUGGGUUGUAAUACACUCACGGUCCCAGCUUGUGCUUUACAAGAAGAGGGAAUAUAACUAGACUGGUUAUUUUAGGUUAAAAUAGCCAAGAGACAGACGCUUUCGCCUCAAAAAUAUUCUGAGACACAUAAAAGUAGAAGGAACCAAGUCUCUUCAGUCACAAAAUGUCGUACAUCCAGCAUAUACUAGAUUCAAUUAAUUUAAUAAAAUAGAAUAUACAUAGAGAUUCUGCACAAACGUAUUGCUUUCUCCCAACAGCUCCUGGUGUCGGGAGCCUUGGCCACACUGGGCUUUCUCCUUUUCCUUCUUCCCGGAGGCAGGGGCUCCAGGGCUGUGUUCUCUUCAGAUCGACUCUCCGGAAGUUCUGCUCGUCAUCCCCACCAGCCACUGAAGAAGGCAGGUGAGGUGCCUCGUGGCUGCUUGCUGCUUGCGUGGGACUUUUCAGAAACGCUGCCCAGGAGGCGGAGCUAGGAUCUGCACCCGGUGGAGAAAGGUCCCGUGGGGACAGGGGUUCUUCCUGGCUGCUGGGAAGGAGGUCUCCUGAAAUCCAGCUCAGCUCCGUGUCCAGCUCUAAGCUGCUUCUGGUCUCUGGAGGGUCCUUGGCCCAGCUGGGUUCCAGGCCUGGGCAAGGGGCUGGCAGGCGGAUGUGCUUGGAGACUUUGCUCUGGAUGCCGGAACGCUGCUGCACCUGGAUGCUCGACCCGCCCCAGAAGGAUGAGGACCGGGUCAGAGGGCAGGAGGGCCCACUCACCUCUGACAACAGGUCUUCCCGGCUACCCAGGCCCUGCACAUCCAGGGAGUCAGUCCUUAUUGCUGCCUGUAGGGAGUGGAAGCAGGGCUCAGCCCAGGGAUUUCCUUUCAACGUGGAUUCUCUUUUAUCCUUUCUGUCAUGUUGGCUGUGCCUAAUCCCCACACAGCUGCAGGACCACCCUAUUAGCUUCUCUUAUUGAGAGAAGGGGGGUAUAAGCCCUCUGAGCUCUGAGGACCACCCUUCAACCACCACAUUUUUCUUCUAUCCUCCUGCUCCAUUUCCCUAAAUCUGCAGGAGGAACUCUGUGCAGUCUUUGGGCCCUGGGACACCAGAAAGAACUCAUACAUACAAGCUCUGUUUCCCAAACUGGCCCCUUUGUGCCUCUAGCCUUUAGGGAGAGAGAGCAAGGCAGCAAGCAAGUCCCUUGGCUUUGAAUACCCUUCCUGACGACAAGUAUCCCUGGUUAUGCUGAACAUGGGUUUUCUGUGAUGAGCACAUGGCAGUCCACUUCAAGGAAACCAACCCUUGUCUCCUCUGCGCUCACACAGCUCACAUAAGCACCACGCAGCUAUAACCUGGGGCUGCAGUGAUCUGGUGGCAUGUGUGUCCACUGAGCUCAGAGAGCAGGGACUGUGUCCCAGUGCCUAGCAGCAGGAAGUGGCUGAAGGAAGAGGGAUCUUGCCUGCUCCACAAGAACAUGAUGCUGACAGAUAUUCCUAUAUCUGUGAUCAGGAGACCCAGACAUCAACGCAAGGCACACAAGCCUCACUUGGCUCCAUUAGUCUCUCUCUGGUUCAUGGACAGUGGACCCCAGGAUUGCCCGGAAAUAAAGACACUUAGAUCCUG